This is a long non-coding RNA of Dermacentor andersoni, 2776 nucleotides long. RefSeq lists it as uncharacterized. The record is from RefSeq and is a predicted model, not a curated record. NCBI's taxonomy places the organism in Eukaryota, Metazoa, Arthropoda, Arachnida, Ixodida, Ixodidae.
CUUGCCCGUAAAUCCGUUUCACUUGCGCGUGCCGCGUCAACAGAAACACGCCGCUUUUCUUUCUUUCUUUUUCUGGUGGAAAUGGGGCACAACAUCGAAUAAACGAAGCUUUGCACAACACGUUUACAAACGGACAAACACGAAAUAACAACCACUCUGACUCAUCAUUAACAUGUCUAAUUGACCAACGAUUUGGCGGCUGUCCAUUGUAUUUGUUAGGUUGUUAAUUAUGCUGUUUCUCACUGGUCAACCAAGCGAGACUGUACCAGUAAUCAUGCAAGCCGUUCGUUUUCUUGCAUUUCGUGACUUGCUCGUCCGGCUCCUUUUGCCGACGAGAAGCAGCCUAUAUUUCUCGCUUUAUCCCCAGCAGCAAUACUCUACAAAACGAAAUAUUGUCCCUCCAUUUAAACCCCAUUCAACCAGGUUUAAUGUCCUCGACAUUGAGCCACAAUAUGUAAGGAAUAUCGUUUAAAGGCCGCAGGCCAGCUGACAAUGGACAUAAAUCGGAGGGGCCGAGGGGCCAAAGAAACUAAACUGAAACAUUGUUUGCCGUGAGUAUUUUCUAAACAGCAUGUGCCUUAUAUCUUAAAUAAAUAAAUAUAAAAUAAUCUAGACGGACAUAUGUUAGAACUUUGUUUUGUUUUGUCCAUAUUCAAACUCUUCUAGGUGGCGCCCCAACAGCUCAUCGAAAUGCACGCAGCGCGAAUUCGAAUCCACAGCGAGAUUUGAGCGCGGGAAGCUGUUAUGUGCCAGUAUGCUGGGGUAGGCUUGACAACUCAAAAUUUUCUAUUUGUACUUACGAAGCAGCAGUAUUUGACAGAAAAGAAUAAUACUUUGAUGCUCUUCUCACGCCUACAAGCGAGGGCGGCGUGAUUAACAACACAGCGUAAUGCGCAACGGUGAACGCCAACGAACUGCGUGCCGCCACCAACCUGGACGAAGCAUUUUGGACUGAAGCUGUCUUGAUAUCUACAAUACAUUGGACACUACAUGCAGGAUUAUGAAUGGAUACCUGAACACUGCUUGAAGGAGCAAGCUCUACAGCAUCACUUAUGCUCCUUUCCAUGGGUUGGCAAGAGGAACCGUGGCACGCAACUCUACAGGCACCUGUGCUCUUCACUACCUUCGGAGGAGAGAUGCAUUGAAUGCUCCCUAUCAUGCACUGCCAUCUCAACAGUACCAUGGCUUUUUGUGUGGAUUCCUUCCCUUUUGAAGGCCACCACUGUUUGCACAGCAUCACAGCCUGCCUGCCUUGAUCUUGCGGAAGAAGAAAAUACAAAAUGCCUAUUUUUUGAAAUGCAUGCAUGGCUUCAUGCAACACCACCUGUCGUCGGGGUGUUAAGGCUUUUUGCAGAGAAAAUGUAAUGACGCCUUAUGUGUGCCCUGGUGGCAAAGUGUUUGCCUCUUUGCCUGUGUAAAAAUUUCACACUUAUGGAUACUGUUAAAGGUUCCUGUAUCAUAUUUUCUUUCACAUCCUAAGAAAUUUUUGUUUCAUUAUAAAACUAAAAAUUAUAGUUGAAUUGCUGCUUUGUGUGAUAUGCAAUAUUCAGCUGAAGGUGAUCAGCAGAGGUCGAACAAGUGUUAUGUCAGGUGGAGAAAUUUUUUUGAGAAGUGGACUUCUUCGUUAGGGUAACAACCGUUUUCCUUGGCAGUAUUUAUAUAGUUCACUUUUCUCCACUCCAUGGAUAUCCAGCAAAAUGAGUGAGUGCAUAGAGAAGGUGAGGUAAGUUUAAAUGCUCACCAGGGGGGUUUAGUUGGGGUAGCAAGGUGUGUAGAAGUAUGCGAGUUUGACAGGUUGCUGGCACCAAUUUCUAUGAGUGAUCUUGUUGUUUGUGUCUAUGUCAGUUAUAUAAUGCGAGGCGUCUUCUGACGCCAGAAAUUUUGAAAAAGAAAAACUCCUUAUAUUUGUGGAAAUUCAGUAUGUGCCCCUGGGGCUACUACGAGCACUUGGGGCCACUGGGUAGAUGCAGCUCUCCAAUGAACUUUUUUGACACAAACUUGUGUAUGUACGCUGGGUGUGUGCCACUGCAUAUGUGCCACUCUUUAAUGAACCUCUUUGAUGCUGACUUAGGUCAUGGGGCAUCACAACACAAACCUAUGUAGCGACAUCUGUGUAUGCAAGUAAGUGUGAGCUGGAAUUGUCUGCUUGGAUUUUCUUUCCCUGAUGACGACUAGUCCCCUUGUUGAAUUAACUUCAGCCUGAGAUAUCACCUGUUUGUCUACUGUUAUCACAUUAUGCCCAUUUUGCUGUGAACUUGUCAUGUUCUCUAGCUGGCAAGCUUGAAUUUCAGGUGCUGCAUGCUAAGGAAAUUGAUUCAGAGUGGGUGGUACCACUUCUGCUUUUUCUUUGCAGCUGUGUGUUACAUGAGAGAAUAAGUUGUACGUAGAUGUCUAUUAGAAAUAGCAUAGGUAUUCAAAGGUACUUUCAUUAUGUUCUAGGUCAUUGGUGCUGUCUGGCCUCCUUUGCAUCAUUUUUUGUAGCAUGCUUUUUACAUGCAAAAACAAAUGUGGCCUGUUCUAAUGCGUGCAAGGACUGCCCAAUAGCUCAUGAUGUUUUGAGCCGCUGAAUUUCAGUCUUGGCUGCACUUGUGGAUUUUCAACUGUACUGAAGCUUGCAAUAUGCUUGAAUUUCCUGUCAAACUGGUUUGCUUGUUUGUAUCCAAUUUAUUGAAUUAUUUCACUUUCAUUAUGCUAAUAGUCAUUGAUUGUACUAUCAUGCUGGCACAUUUGAUUCUGGAACUGCAAUAAAUUUCCAGACAUAUUAUUGCUUUGUCAU